This is a non-coding RNA of Escherichia coli B7A, 111 nucleotides long. NCBI's taxonomy places the organism in Bacteria, Pseudomonadati, Pseudomonadota, Gammaproteobacteria, Enterobacterales, Enterobacteriaceae. The record is from Rfam.
CCAGCUAUCCCAUUAGCUGUAGCCUACCGGGACAGGCGCUGCCGGCAACGGCGGGGUCUGAAGCUCCCGGGACAACGAGAGCCGGGCUGCAAGCAUCAUGCGGCAGGAGAG